UAUGUAGGGCGCAAGCGUUAUCCGGAAUUAUUGGGCGUAAAGAGCUCGUAGGCGGUUUGUCGCGUCUGCCGUGAAAGUCCGGGGCUCAACUCCGGAUCUGCGGUGGGUACGGGCAGACUAGAGUGAUGUAGGGGAGACUGGAAUUCCUGGUGUAGCGGUGAAAUGCGCAGAUAUCAGGAAGAACACCCGUGGCGAAGGCGGUUCUCUGGGACGGUACUGACGCUGAGACGCGAAAGCGUGGGGAGCGAACAGG
This 253-nucleotide ribosomal RNA is filed under the name uncultured bacterium. Its description in RNAcentral is "partial 16S ribosomal RNA". It matches the Rfam family "Bacterial small subunit ribosomal RNA", at positions 524 to 776 of the family's 1533-position model. The record is from RNAcentral.